RNAcentral lists this long non-coding RNA (393 nucleotides) under Monodelphis domestica (gray short-tailed opossum). RNAcentral's name for it is "lncRNA (ENSMODG00000039095.1)". Lineage: Eukaryota; Metazoa; Chordata; Mammalia; Didelphimorphia; Didelphidae. The record is from RNAcentral.
ACCAGAAGUUGGAUUCAUUAUCUAUUUUGGAGACUGACUGAAAAUGAGAAUGAAGAUGUAAGGAUGGAAGUGGAUUCGCAAACUUGGGUAACUGGAAACUUGUUCAUGCUAUUUACAAAAGUGGGAAAAGAAGCAUUUCAGCAACAUAAUGCUGAUAGAAGUGCAAUUUCAAAUAGAAUCCAAAAGAGGACAACAAAGCCAGUGAAGAGUCCAAAAUCGACAUUAAGUGAUAAAAAUCUGAAGGAGAUUGGAAUGCAUAGCCAGGAAGAAUAAAUGACAUAAGGAUGAAAGUAACUAUCUUCAGGUAUCUGAGGGACUUCUGUUUGGAGGAGAAAUUGAACUUAAUCUAGUUAAUUCUAGAAACAAGAACUAGAAUCAAAGAGUCAUCAGCAA